GCGGGUGUAGCUCAGUUGGUAGAGCUUCUGAUUUCCAAUCAGAAUGUCGCGUGUUCGAGUCACGUUACCCGCU
RNAcentral lists this transfer RNA (73 nucleotides) under Ishigurovirus osborne. RNAcentral's name for it is "Aeromonas phage 65 tRNA". It matches the Rfam family "tRNA". From Rfam's summary of the family: Transfer RNA (tRNA) molecules are approximately 80 nucleotides in length. Their secondary structure includes four short double-helical elements and three loops (D, anti-codon, and T loops). The record is from Rfam by way of RNAcentral. RNAcentral also lists the same sequence under 1 other name. Lineage: Duplodnaviria; Heunggongvirae; Uroviricota; Caudoviricetes; Pantevenvirales; Straboviridae.